CAGUCGCCACGGUAAUACGAAGGGGGCUAGCGUUGCUCGGAAUUACUGGGCGUAAAGGGAGCGUAGGCGGAUCGUUAAGUUGGGGGUGAAAGCCCGGGGCUCAACCUCGGAACUGCCUUCAAUACUGGCGAUCUUGAGUAUGAGAGAGGUGUGUGGAACUCCGAGUGUAGAGGUGAAAUUCGUAGAUAUUCGGAAGAACACCAGUGGCGAAGGCGACACACUGGCUCAUUACUGACGCUGAGGCUCGAAAGCGUGGGGAGCAAACAGGAUUAGAUACCCGGGUAGUCCCUGUCUCUUAUAC
This 301-nucleotide ribosomal RNA is filed under the name uncultured bacterium. Its description in RNAcentral is "partial 16S ribosomal RNA". It matches the Rfam family "Bacterial small subunit ribosomal RNA", at positions 509 to 807 of the family's 1533-position model. The record is from RNAcentral.